UGUUAUUGAUAUUACCACUCAUAAUACUAAAAACUUUUGAGCCAUUGAAGCAAUUUGCAGCUCUACUAGCUGAGAAUUAAUGUGUCUGUCUUCCCAUAGACCCUCUUAAGUGUGAGCGUAUGAUAGUAAUGCAGUUUUAAUUUGCAUAUUCUCUGAUUAUUUGUGGUUUUGAACAUUUUAGGAUCAUUGUAAGAUAGUUAUUAGUUCUGAUUUAUUCUUUUGAAAAUUGCUUCUGCCCUUUGAUCACAUCUCUAGUAUUUAUAUAUAUGAUACUCUGUGUGUGUGUGUGUGUGUGUACAUAUAUAUAUGUAUAUACUUUUGUGUGGACAUAAAAUAUUAAGUAAUAUAUUAUUUAGAUGUCACGUCCCUAUAGAUUUUGGAUAUCAGAUAUCAGAGCUAUGUGAUACAAAUGAGCAUGUAUACUGGAAAGUAUAUUAUAUUUGAAGUCUACAGACCUGUGUUUGAAUCUUAUCAUUUGCCAUUUAAGGCUUAGUCUUUCUGGUUCUUAGUUUCCUCAUUUGUAAAAUGAGGAGAUUGAGAAUUAUAUCUUCUGUGGUCUCUUUCAACUUUAAAUUUAUGAUCUUUUAAAUCCCCCCUCAUACACAUCUUUCAUUCAGAUUUUAGCUUCAUUGAUUUUAUUUGUUCAAAGGUUUUUAAAUUUCAGAUCAUUAAAAUUUUUUCAUCUUUUGUAGUUAUUUCUUUAUUGUUUCUUAUUAUUUCCUCCACUCCUGUAUUUUUGAAUGAUAUUGUUUUAUGUAAGCUUCCAUUUUUUUUAAUGGUGUGAUCGGAAAAUAUUUGAAAACCCAGUGCUUGCUUUUUCUAUUAUUUCUGGUACUUAUGUCAACUUAUUUCUCUUUUCCUUUCCUUUCUACUAUGACCUUUAUGAAUUGUAGGGGAAGAGAUUAUGGAGAGGGAAAGACAACUGCCCUUGAAAUGAAGUUAUUACUUCUUUGAGGUCAAUUCUUCUUUUAAAAAUAUUCCACUUAAGUCAUUCAAACAUGGAAAAAACUCUUUAACAUUUGACUUAACUCUAUUAUUUUUCAAAAAAAUGCUUAGAGUUAUAAAUGGAAUGAAGUUCAGUAUAAUUAUCUAUCAUAAUAUAAUUAAAGGAAACACUAUAUUAAAAAUUUAUUGUUUAGUCAUUUCAGUUAAGUCUGAUUCUUUAUGACCCUAUUUGGGAUUUUCUUGUCAAAGAUGUUGGAAUGUUUUGCCAUUUCCUUCUCCAUCUAAUUUUAUAGAUGAGGAAACUGAGGCAAAUGAGCUUAAGUGACUUUGACUCCAGACCUAAUGCUUUGUCUACUGUGCCACUUAGUUGACCUAUGUAAAAAAUAGAAUGCAACAUAAUAUAAAAAAAAAGGUAUAUAUCUCUCUUUAAUCUCUGCUUUUGGGAGGCUAAUUCUGGUAAAUUAUUUUAACUCGGGAGUUCUGAGCUACAGUUAGGCUAUUUGAAUUAAAACUAAUACCAAUAUGGGACACCCCUAGAAAAAAGAGACCAAAAAACUGUCUAAAGACAUUCUGGAGAUAGAGCAAAUCAAAGCUUCUUAGGUGAUUACUAGUGGGAUAGGGUUUAUGAGUGGUUGUUUUACUUCCAGUCAGAUAAAAUAGAUCUAGUCUAAAAAAAAAAAAAAAAACGACAAAACAAAAUAUACCUAUAAGUAUUGUGAUAUGAUUAAUUUAGGUAUAAACACAUAUGUUUUCCAAUAAAUUCUGGAUGUAUUUGUUCCCUAUUAGUAUGAUGUGGUUUAUUUUUUGAAAAACACUAGCUUACUUUUAUGUGAUGGAAUUCAAAGUGUGUUUGAGAUUAGGUAUUGUAUUUUAAGGAUUAAAGUGUUGUUUUGUAACCUAAAAUAUUACUUCUUUUAAAGUUGCAUUAAUAUUUGCUGGGACUAUUUCCAAGGACAUUGUGAUGUUGGACUAGUAGUACUUAACUAGUAGUUAUUUUCAUCAUAAGCUUUUCAGUUUUGUAUUUUUCCAGGGUGGUGAAGGAGUAACAGUCUCUUGCCACUGGUGGAAACUAACUAGUGUUUCACAUCAUGGAAAAUUUUUUAGUGAGGCUAAUCCAGCUCUGGAGAGCAUUAAAUAAAAACAAACAACCAGUUCUGUCUCAUCAGGAAAUAUCUCCAAAGUUUUACCAAUAUAUAAAAAACAUUUAUACUAAACAAUAUAAUGUGAUAUAGUGAAAAUAACAUGGGACUUGGAGCUCAGAGGCCUCUGUAUAAAUAGCAGCUCUAACACUUACAAAUCCUAUGUCUUUUCAUCAAUCUGGAUCUCAGUAGUCACAGUAAUAUGGGAAUAAUUGUACUUAUAACUUUCAGUCAUUUUUCACUUGUGUCCAAUUCCUCAUGAUCCCAUUUGGGUUUUUUGGGGCAAAAAUACUGAAGUAGUUUGCUUUCUUCAGAUAAUUUUACAGAUGAGAAAACUGAGGCAAAUAGAGUUAAGUAACUUGCCCAGGAUCACAGGACUAGAAAGUACCUGGAUUUGAACUCCUGAACAUGAUUCUCCCUUGCUUCAGACCCAGCACUCUACCACACCACCACCUAGCUGCCCAGAUAGUAUAUACUGCCCACUUAAUGGAGUUGUUUUGAUGAAAACAUCUUGUAAACCUAUAAAAUGCUACAAAAAUAGCUUGUUAUUAAUAUAAUAUUAAUAUAAAAUCCCUCUCUCUCUCUCUCUCUGUAUAUAUAUGUGUGUGUGUGUGUGUGUGUGUGUGUAUUAAAAUAAUCAAAACAAGCAGCCUAAUUUCAUUUAUUCAAUCAACAGUCAAUUAAGUGACAUAAAUGAAACAGUUCUUGCUAUGUGGGGUUUAUAAUCUAGACAAGGGAGAAAUCUACAAAUAGAAUAAGAUGCAAACAUAGAUGUAAGAUUAUGGGAGGGAGAAAGCAACUAGAGAGAUUAGGAAAGGCAUGGUGUAGAAGGUGACUUUGAAUUAAGUCUUGAAGAAAGCUUCAUUUUUAGAAAAAGAGGGAAAAAGGAAAUACAUUCCAAAUAUGGUAGAUAGCCAGCAAAAAUGCAUGGAGAUAAGAUUUAUAGUUUUACGGGUGAAUAACAUUAAAAAGAUGAAUUUGGCUGAUCUGAUAUGAAAGUAAUGUAAAAUAAAGGCUAAAAAAGGAGAUUGGGGAAGGUUGUGAAGGACCUUAAAAGGCAAAAAAAAGAGUUUAUAUAGGAAAUCCUGGCCUUUUUUUUUUUUUCUGAAGCAAUUGGGGGUAAGUGACUUGCCCAGGGUCACACAGCUAGGAAGUGUGUCUGAAACCAAAUUUGAACUCAGGUCAUUCUGACUUCAGGGCUGGUGUUUCCCUGAACUCCUGAUUUUUAAAUAAAAAAGUAAUACCAUUAAAGGGGCAUCUAGAUGGCAUAAUGAAUAGAGCAUCAAUCCUGGAACCAGAAAGACUCACAUUCAAAUCUGGCCCCAGAUUCUUACUAGCUCCGUGACCCUGGGAAAAUCCCUUCACCCUAUUUGCCUGUGUUUCCUCAUCUAUAAAUGAACUAGACAAGGAAAUGGGAAACUACUUCAAUACUUUGCCAGGAAAACCCCAAAUGGAGUCACAGUUGGAAAUGACUAAAACAACUUAACAAUAACAUUGUCAUUGUUCCAUUUCAUUUUUCCUUCAAAUAACUUAAAAUGGAUUUCUUUGCAAGGAAAACAGGCAAACAAACAAAAAAUCAAUUUUCUAUUUGAGUAGUUCUAUCACCUGCAUUUCUUUUUAUGUAUGUAGCAAUAUUUUGUAGGGAGAAAAGUGAUGUUAACAUGGGUAAGAAUGAGAAAAACCUUAAGUGGUAAUAGCUGCUGUUUCCACCUGGUACUUAGGUUGAAGAUAACAGGGAACAAAAAUAUCAUCUGUUUCUUUUUGCUUGUCCCCAAGAGCUUUGGGGUGAACUCUUAAGAAUCAUUUGUCAUUGUUGUAGAAUAAAAGCUCUCUGAUUCAUGUGAGAAUGAGAUCAGAAAUAUGCUGUGUCAUAUGCUGUCAACUUUAUGAGCUACUAAGUCAACUUGGUUUCUGAGCUGUGUGAACAUAGUCCUCUGCCUCAAUGAAUGUCUACAUUAUGGCACAGUGGAACAUCAUUAAAUGUUUCUGAUGAAAUAUUUUAUUUUCUCUUCUUUUUUUACUUUUCUCUGUCAUUUUUAAAAUUUUCUGACAUCUUCUGAUGUUUGGCCACGCUCCUCAGACUUUCUUCCCUUGUAAAAUGAGGAUGGUGGACACUGUGAACUCUAAGGCUCCUUCUGAGUAGCAAGCUAGCCUAGUGGAUAAAACAUCUGGCUGGAGUUAGAAAGACCUGAGUUCAAAUGUGGCAUCAGGCCCUUACUAGCUGUGUGAUUUGGCAAGUCACUUAAGUCAUCUGUUGGAUGAACAGAAGGGGUUGGAGAAGGAAAUGGCAAAUCAUUCCAGUGUCUUUGCCAAGAAAAUCCCAAGUGAAGUCACAAAAAAAUGACUAGAAAAUGACUGGACAAUAAUGAAAGACCCCUUCCAGCUUGGAGUCUGGGAUGCUAUAACUCCUAGUCUUCUACCUCUGCUUCUAACCUCAACCAACCUAUUAUGGUAGUAGGAAAUUGUUUUCCAACUUCAUGAAUAAAAUAAUAAUUGUCUUACAUUAGAUGUGCUAUUAUUAUUGUUAUUAUUUAUUAGAGCACUAGGAUGACUGGCUGCAUGGAUUGCUAUUACAUAAUAUCUGAAGAUAAGACUUACUUUUUAGAACAGCUUUCCAAAGGUAAUUCUCCCAGUCACUCUACAGUCACUCCCCAAGUUAUGGUUAUACUGUUUAUGGAUAUCUGUGGAUACCAACAAAGUUUCAUAAGCUGAGAUACACACACACAUACACACACACACACACACACAGAUACACACAGAUAGACAGACAUUGACACACAUAUGCAGAGACAGAGACAGACUAUGAAAGAGACAGAGAUGAAAACUGAGAGACAGUGACAUAGAUAAUGACAGAGAGAGGCAGAGAGAAGAGGGAGAGGGAGAAAGAGACAAAGAAAAAGAGAGAAAGAGAGAGGGAGAAAGAAAAAGAGAGAGUGACAAAGAGACAGAGACAGAGAGGAGAGAAAGAGACAAAGAAGAGAGAGAAAGAGAGAGGGAGAAAGAAAAAGAGAGAGUGACAAAGAGACAGAGACAGAGAGGAGAGAAAGAGACAAAGAAGAGAAAGAGAGGUGAGAGAAGAGAGCAAGAAAGAGAGUGACAGAAAGACAGAGAGAGAAUGA
Long non-coding RNA from Antechinus flavipes (yellow-footed antechinus), 5203 nucleotides. RefSeq lists it as uncharacterized. The transcript is spliced from 2 exons. Lineage: Eukaryota; Metazoa; Chordata; Mammalia; Dasyuromorphia; Dasyuridae. The record is from RefSeq and is a predicted model, not a curated record.